This 503-nucleotide ribosomal RNA is filed under the name uncultured bacterium. Its description in RNAcentral is "partial 16S ribosomal RNA". It matches the Rfam family "Bacterial small subunit ribosomal RNA", at positions 28 to 523 of the family's 1533-position model. The record is from RNAcentral.
GAUGAACGCUAGCGACAGGCUUAACACAUGCAAGUCGAGGGGCAGCAUAGAAGUAGCAAUACUUUGGUGGCGACCGGCGCACGGGUGAGUAACGCGUAUGCAACCUACCUAUCAGAGGGGAAUAACCCGGCGAAAGUCGGCCUAAUACCGCAUAAAACAGGGGCACCGCAUGGUGAUAUUUGUUAAAGAAAUUCGCUGAUAGAUGGGCAUGCGUUCCAUUAGGUAGUUGGUGAGGUAACGGCUCACCAAGCCGACGAUGGAUAGGGGAACUGAGAGGUUGGUCCCCCACACUGGUACUGAGACACGGACCAGACUCCUACGGGAGGCAGCAGUGAGGAAUAUUGGUCAAUGGGCGGGAGCCUGAACCAGCCAAGUCGCGUGAAGGAAGAAGGAUCUAUGGUUCGUAAACUUCUUUUGCAGGGGAAUAAAGUGCGGGACGUGUCCUGUUUUGUAUGUACCCUGAGAAUAAGGAUCGGCUAACUCCGUGCCAGCAGCCGCGGUAA